AUUGAACGCUGGCGGCAGGCCUAACACAUGCAAGUCGAACGAGUGGCGGACGGGUGCGUAAUGUCUGGGAAACUGCCUGAUGGAGGGGGAUAACUACUGGAAACGGUAGCUAAUACCGCAUACCAUCAGAUGUGCCCAGAUGGGAUUAGCUUGUUGGUGGGGUAACGGCUCACCAAGGAGACUAUCCCUAUCUGGUUUGAGAGGAUGACCAGCAACACUGGAACUUAGACACGGUCCAGACGCCGACGGGAGGCAGCAGUGGGGAAGAUUGCACAAGGGGCGCAAGCCUGAUGCAGCCAUGCCGCGGGUAUGAAGAAGGCCUUAGGGUUGUAAAGUACUUGCAGCGGGGAGGCGUUACCCACAGAAGAAGCACCGGCUAACUCCGUGCCAGCAGCCGCGGUAAUUC
Molecule: ribosomal RNA, 406 nt
Filed under: uncultured bacterium
Lineage: Bacteria
Description: partial 16S ribosomal RNA
Rfam family: Bacterial small subunit ribosomal RNA
Source: RNAcentral